This 635-nucleotide ribosomal RNA is filed under the name uncultured Methylobacter sp. RNAcentral's name for it is "bacterial SSU rRNA". It matches the Rfam family "Bacterial small subunit ribosomal RNA", at positions 9 to 642 of the family's 1533-position model. Lineage: Bacteria; Pseudomonadati; Pseudomonadota; Gammaproteobacteria; Methylococcales; Methylococcaceae. The record is from RNAcentral.
GAGUUUGAUCAUGGCUCAGAUUGAACGCUGGCGGUAUGCUUAACACAUGCAAGUCGAACGGUAGCAGGCCUUCGGGCGCUGACGAGUGGCGGACGGGUGAGUAACGCGUAGGAAUCUGCCUCAUAGUGGGGGACAACGUGGGGAAACUCACGCUAAUACCGCAUACGCCCUACGGGGGAAAGCGGGGGCUCGUAAGACCUCGCGCUAUGAGAUGAGCCUGCGUUAGAUUAGCUAGUUGGUAGGGUAAAGGCCUACCAAGGCGACGAUCUAUAGCUGGUCUGAGAGGACGAUCAGCCACACUGGGACUGAGACACGGCCCAGACUCCUACGGGAGGCAGCAGUGGGGAAUAUUGGACAAUGGGCGCAAGCCUGAUCCAGCAAUACCGCGUGUGUGAAGAAGGCCCUAGGGUUGUAAAGCACUUUCAAUGGGGAGGAAAACCUGCCGGUCAAUACCCGGUAGCUUGACAUUACCUUUAGAAGAAGCACCGGCUAACUCCGUGCCAGCAGCCGCGGUAAUACGGAGGGUGCGAGCGUUAAUCGGAAUUACUGGGCGUAAAGCGUGCGUAGGCGGUUCGUUAAGUCAGAUGUGAAAGCCCCGGGCUCAACCUGGGAACUGCAUUUGAAACUGGCGAACU